Molecule: ribosomal RNA, 492 nt
Filed under: Pseudomonas sp. Is-030
Lineage: Bacteria; Pseudomonadati; Pseudomonadota; Gammaproteobacteria; Pseudomonadales; Pseudomonadaceae
Description: bacterial SSU rRNA
Rfam family: Bacterial small subunit ribosomal RNA
Source: RNAcentral
GGCUCAGAUUGAACGCUGGCGGCAGGCCUAACACAUGCAAGUCGAGCGGAUGACAGGAGCUUGCUCCUGAAUUCAGCGGCGGACGGGUGAGUAAUGCCUAGGAAUCUGCCUGGUAGUGGGGGACAACGUUUCGAAAGGAACGCUAAUACCGCAUACGUCCUACGGGAGAAAGCAGGGGACCUUCGGGCCUUGCGCUAUCAGAUGAGCCUAGGUCGGAUUAGCUAGUUGGUGAGGUAAUGGCUCACCAAGGCGACGAUCCGUAACUGGUCUGAGAGGAUGAUCAGUCACACUGGAACUGAGACACGGUCCAGACUCCUACGGGAGGCAGCAGUGGGGAAUAUUGGACAAUGGGCGAAAGCCUGAUCCAGCCAUGCCGCGUGUGUGAAGAAGGUCUUCGGAUUGUAAAGCACUUUAAGUUGGGAGGAAGGGCAUUAACCUAAUACGUUAGUGUUUUGACGUUACCGACAGAAUAAGCACCGGCUAACUCUGUGC